UGGGGAAUUUUGGACAAUGGGCGAAAGCCUGAUCCAGCCAUUCCGCGUGCAGGAUGAAGGCCCUCGGGUUGUAAACUGCUUUUGUACAGAACGAAAAGGUCUCUAUUAAUACUAGGGGCUCAUGACGGUACUGUAAGAAUAAGCACCGGCUAACUACGUGCCAGCAGCCGCGGUAAUACGUAGGGUGCAAGCGUUAAUCGGAAUUACUGGGCGUAAAGCGUGCGCAGGCGGUUAUAUAAGUCAGAUGUGAAAUCCCCGGGCUCAACCUGGGAACUGCAUUUGAGACUGUAUAGCUAGAGUACGGUAGAGGGGGAUGGAAUUCCGCGUGUAGCAGUGAAAUGCGUAGAUAUGCGGAGGAACACCGAUGGCGAAGGCAAUCCCCUGGACCUGUACUGACGCUCAUGCACGAAAGCGUGGGGAGCAAACAGG
RNAcentral lists this ribosomal RNA (429 nucleotides) under uncultured bacterium. Its description in RNAcentral is "bacterial SSU rRNA". It matches the Rfam family "Bacterial small subunit ribosomal RNA", at positions 355 to 776 of the family's 1533-position model. RNAcentral also lists the same sequence under 1 other name. The record is from RNAcentral.